CUCUCCCUCUUUCUUCCUGCCUAACACAUGCAAGUCGAACGAACCUUUCGGGGUUAGUGGCGGACGGGUGAGUAACACGUGGGAACGUGCCUUUAGGUUCGGAAUAACUCAGGGAAACUUGUGCUAAUACCGAAUGUGCCCUUCGGGGGAAAGAUUUAUCGCCUUUAGAGCGGCCCGCGUCUGAUUAGCUAGUUGGUUGAGGUAAUGGCUCACCAAGGCGACGAUCAGUAGCUGGUCUGAGAGGAUGAUCAGCCACAUUGGGACUGAGACACGGCCCAAACUCCUACGGGAGGCAGCAGUGGGGAAUCUUGCGCAAUGGGCGAAAGCCUGACGCAGCCAUGCCGCGUGAAUGAUGAAGGUCUUAGGAUUGUAAAAUUCUUUCACCGGGGACGAUAAUGACGGUACCCGGAGAAGAAGCCCCGGCUAACUUCGUG
This 434-nucleotide ribosomal RNA is filed under the name uncultured bacterium. RNAcentral describes it as "partial 16S ribosomal RNA". It matches the Rfam family "Bacterial small subunit ribosomal RNA", at positions 36 to 507 of the family's 1533-position model. The record is from RNAcentral.